This 492-nucleotide ribosomal RNA is filed under the name uncultured bacterium. RNAcentral describes it as "partial 16S ribosomal RNA". It matches the Rfam family "Bacterial small subunit ribosomal RNA", at positions 29 to 507 of the family's 1533-position model. The record is from RNAcentral.
AGUGAACGCUGGCGGUAGGCCUAACACAUGCAAGUCGAACGGCAGCACAGUAAGAGCUUGCUCUUACGGGUGGCGAGUGGCGGACGGGUGAGGAAUACAUCGGAAUCUACUUUUUCGUGGGGGAUAACGUAGGGAAACUUACGCUAAUACCGCAUACGACCUACGGGUGAAAGCAGGGGAUCUUAGGACCUUGCGCGAUUGAAUGAGCCGAUGUCGGAUUAGCUAGUUGGCGGGGUAAAGGCCCACCAAGGCGACGACCCGUAGCUGGUCUGAGAGGAUGAUCAGCCACACUGGAACUGAGACACGGUCCAGACUCCUACGGGAGGCAGCAGUGGGGAAUAUUGGACAAUGGGCGCAAGCCUGAUCCAGCCAUACCGCGUGGGUGAAGAAGGCCUUCGGGUUGUAAAGCCCUUUUGUUGGGAAAGAAAAGCAGCAGGUUAAUCCCCCGCUGUUCUGACGGUACCCAAAGAAUAAGCACCGGCUAACUUCGUG